UGGUGGGGUAACGGCCCACCAAGCCGAAGAUCCGUACGGGCUGUGAGAGCAGGAGCCCGGAGAUGGACCCUGAGACAAGGGUCCAGGCCCUACGGGGCGCAGCAGGCGCGAAACCUCCGCAAUGCGGGAAACCGCGACGGGGUCAGCCGGAGUGCCGAUGCUCGCAUCGGCUGUCGGGGUGCCUAAAAAGCACCCCAUAGCAAGGGCCGGGCAAGGCCGGUGGCAGCCGCCGCGAUAAUACCGGCGGCCCGAGUGGCGGCCACUAUUAUUGGGCCUAAAGCGUCCGUAGCCGGGCUGGUAAGUCCUCCGGGAAAUCUGGUCGCUUAACGAUCAGACUUCCGGAGGAUACUGCUGGCCUAGGGACCGGGAGAGGCCGAGGGUAUUCCCGGGGUAGGGGUGAAAUCCUGUAAUCCCGGGAGGACCACCUGUGGCGAAGGCGCUCGGCUGGAACGGGUCCGACGGUGAGGGACGAAGGCCAGGGGAGCGAACCGGAUUAGAU
RNAcentral lists this ribosomal RNA (499 nucleotides) under uncultured microorganism. Its description in RNAcentral is "bacterial SSU rRNA". It matches the Rfam family "Archaeal small subunit ribosomal RNA", at positions 234 to 734 of the family's 1478-position model. The record is from RNAcentral.